CCUGAAUCCAGCCACUCUUCUGCCACUUCCCAAGGGGGGAAUUGUGUACCACUGGUAUAGCCUGGAUAUCAACCCAGAAGUUCUAGCAGAUCUGCAACUACCUGCACUUGCACCUCCAGAAGUUCUAGCAGAUCUGCAACUACCUGCACUUGCACCUCCACAUGAUGAACAAUCAGUGGCCCUACUCCACUGUACUUUGUGGGUUAGGGAUGAACCAGGCCCUGAUAUGAACUAUGAGGCAGAAGUAUUCCAACUCAAAGAAAUCCAAAUUACCCUGACUGACUUGUUUUGGGACCUCACAGGUACCAUGCUCAUCCUAGUCCACCUCCCAGAGAGUGUGACACAUCUCUAUCACCAUUGGGAAACAUCUAUCCCACACAUAUCUCUCACCAGACCUCCCGACAUCUCGUGGAAAGACCUAGGCCGAUGGCCAAGACCUGGAGUCAAAUGAACCAAGAACAACUGACUUCUAUGGGGACCAGCAAAAAGACUAUUAACUACUGUACAGCAGGGUACCCUAGGUACCACACAGACGUCUGUGAGGACCCACUCAUCAUAGACUGUGACCCUGAUAUUUCCCCACUUAGCUGAUCAGGCCGCUAAGGAAGCAGCACAACAAGGAUGGGAAGUGGACAGAAGAGUGGCCACAGACGCAGUGCCCAUCUACACCAUGCAGACACUGCCUACGGAUCUUAGGCUUCUAAAGGAACAACCAGCUACUGCUACUCCCCAGGAGAAACAAAGUUGGAAGAACAAAGGAGCUGUACUCCGUGAUGAUGUUUACACUAUCAAUCUCAAGUUUUGCC
This is a non-coding RNA of Pelobates cultripes (western spadefoot toad), 806 nucleotides long. The record is from the annotation of a GenBank genome assembly. NCBI's taxonomy places the organism in Eukaryota, Metazoa, Chordata, Amphibia, Anura, Pelobatidae.